Molecule: ribosomal RNA, 245 nt
Filed under: Aeromonas caviae
Lineage: Bacteria; Pseudomonadati; Pseudomonadota; Gammaproteobacteria; Aeromonadales; Aeromonadaceae
Description: partial 16S ribosomal RNA
Rfam family: Bacterial small subunit ribosomal RNA
Source: RNAcentral
CUGCUGGCUGUGACGUUACUCGCAGAAGAAGCACCGGCUAACUCCGUGCCAGCAGCCGCGGUAAUACGGAGGGUGCAAGCGUUAAUCGGAAUUACUGGGCGUAAAGCGCACGCAGGCGGUUGAAUAAGUUAGAUGUGAAAGCCCCGGGCUCAACCUGGGAAUUGCAUUUAAAACUGUCCAGCUAGAGUCUUGUAGAGGGGGGUAGAAUUCCAGGUGUAGCGGUGAAAUGCGUAGAGAUCUGGAGG